AGUGAACGCUGGCGGUAGGCCUAACACAUGCAAGUCGAAUGGCAGCACAGUAAGAGCUUGCUCUUACGGGUGGCGAGUGGCGGACGGGUGAGGAAUACAUCGGAAUCUACUUUUUCGUGGGGGAUAACGUAGGGAAACUUACGCUAAUACCGCAUACGACCUACGGGUGAAAGCAGGGGAUCUUCGGACCUUGCGCGAUUGAAUGAGCCGAUGUCGGAUUAGCUAGUUGGCGGGGUAAAGGCCCACCAAGGCGACGAUCCGUAGCUGGUCUGAGAGGAUGAUCAGCCACGCUGGAACUGAGACACGGUCCAGACUCCUACGGGAGGCAGCAGUGGGGAAUAUUGGACAAUGGGCGCAAGCCUGAUCCAGCCAUACCGCGUGGGUGAAGAAGGCCUUCGGGUUGUAAAGCCCUUUUGUUGGGAAAGAAAAGCAGCAGGUUAAUACCCCGCUGUUCUGACGGUACCCAAAGAAUAAGCACCGGCUAACUUCGUG
RNAcentral lists this ribosomal RNA (492 nucleotides) under uncultured bacterium. Its description in RNAcentral is "partial 16S ribosomal RNA". It matches the Rfam family "Bacterial small subunit ribosomal RNA", at positions 29 to 507 of the family's 1533-position model. The record is from RNAcentral.